RNAcentral lists this ribosomal RNA (690 nucleotides) under uncultured bacterium. RNAcentral's name for it is "bacterial SSU rRNA". It matches the Rfam family "Bacterial small subunit ribosomal RNA", at positions 32 to 715 of the family's 1533-position model. The record is from RNAcentral.
AACGCUAGCUACAGGCUUAACACAUGCAAGUCGAGGGGCAGCAUUAGGUAGCAAUACUGAGAUGGCGACCGGCGCACGGGUGCGUAACGCGUAUCCAACUUUCCCGUUACUCUGGGAUAGCCUUCCGAAAGGGAGAUUAAUACCGGAUGGUGUUGAAAAUUCGCAUGUUUUUUCAACUAAAGAUUUAUCGGUAACGGAUAGGGAUGCGUGACAUUAGGUAGAUGGCGGGGUAACGGCCCACCAUGCCCACGAUGUCUAGGGGUUCUGAGAGGAAGGUCCCCCACACUGGAACUGAGACACGGUCCAGACUCCUACGGGAGGCAGCAGUGAGGAAUAUUGGUCAAUGGUCGGAAGACUGAACCAGCCAAGUAGCGUGAAGGAUGAAGGUUCUAUGGAUUGUAAACUUCUUUUAUAUAGGAAUAAAACCUCCCACGUGUGGGAGCUUGUAUGUACUAUAUGAAUAAGCAUCGGCUAACUCCGUGCCAGCAGCCGCGGUAAUACGGAGGAUGCGAGCGUUAUCCGGAUUUAUUGGGUUUAAAGGGAGCGUAGACGGGAUGUUAAGUCAGUUGUGAAAGGCUGCGGCUCAACCGCAGCACUGCAGUUGAUACUGGCGUCCUUGAGUGCGGUUGAGGUGUGUGGAAUUCGUGGUGUAGCGGUGAAAUGCUUAGAUAUCACGAAGAACUCCGAUUG